RNAcentral lists this ribosomal RNA (497 nucleotides) under uncultured bacterium. RNAcentral's name for it is "bacterial SSU rRNA". It matches the Rfam family "Bacterial small subunit ribosomal RNA", at positions 30 to 524 of the family's 1533-position model. The record is from RNAcentral.
AUUAAACGCUGGCGGAAUGCUUUACACAUGCAAGUCGAACGGCAGCACGGGGGCAACCCUGGUGGCGAGUGGCGAACGGGUGAGUAAUACAUCGGAACGUGCCCAGUCGUGGGGGAUAACGUAGCGAAAGCUACGCUAAUACCGCAUACGAUCUACGGAUGAAAGCGGGGGAUCGCAAGACCUCGCGCGAUUGGAGCGGCCGAUGGCAGAUUAGGUAGUUGGUGGGGUAAAGGCUCACCAAGCCGACGAUCUGUAGCUGGUCUGAGAGGACGACCAGCCACACUGGGACUGAGACACGGCCCAGACUCCUACGGGAGGCAGCAGUGGGGAAUUUUGGACAAUGGGCGCAAGCCUGAUCCAGCCAUUCCGCGUGCAGGAUGAAGGCCUUCGGUUGUAACUGCUUUGUACGGAACGAAACGGCCUUUCUAAUACAAGAGGCUAAUGACGGUACCGUAAGAAUAAGCACCGGCUAACUACGUGCCAGCAGCCGCGGUAAU